Molecule: ribosomal RNA, 542 nt
Filed under: Trichoderma harzianum
Lineage: Eukaryota; Fungi; Ascomycota; Sordariomycetes; Hypocreales; Hypocreaceae
Also listed under: 1 other name
Description: eukaryotic LSU rRNA
Rfam family: 5.8S ribosomal RNA (bases 174-327)
Source: RNAcentral
GAACGUUACCAAACUGUUGCCUCGGCGGGAUCUCUGCCCCGGGUGCGUCGCAGCCCCGGACCAAGGCGCCCGCCGGAGGACCAACCAAAACUCUUAUUGUAUACCCCCUCGCGGGUUUUUUUAUAAUCUGAGCCUUCUCGGCGCCUCUCGUAGGCGUUUCGAAAAUGAAUCAAAACUUUCAACAACGGAUCUCUUGGUUCUGGCAUCGAUGAAGAACGCAGCGAAAUGCGAUAAGUAAUGUGAAUUGCAGAAUUCAGUGAAUCAUCGAAUCUUUGAACGCACAUUGCGCCCGCCAGUAUUCUGGCGGGCAUGCCUGUCCGAGCGUCAUUUCAACCCUCGAACCCCUCCGGGGGGUCGGCGUUGGGGAUCGGCCCUGCCUCUUGGCGGCGGCCGUCUCCGAAAUACAGUGGCGGUCUCGCCGCAGCCUCUCCUGCGCAGUAGUUUGCACACUCGCAUCGGGAGCGCGGCGCGUCCACAGCCGUUAAACACCCAACUUCUGAAAUGUUGACCUCGGAUCAGGUAGGAAUACCCGCUGAACUUAA